GAGUUUGAUCCUGGCUCAGAUUGAACGCUGGCGGCAUGCUUUACACAUGCAAGUCGAACGGCAGCACGGGGGCAACCCUGGUGGCGAGUGGCGAACGGGUGAGGAAUACAUCGGAACGUGUCUUUAAGUGGGGGAUAACGCAUCGAAAGGUGUGUUAAUACCGCAUAAUCUCUGAGGAGAAAAGCAGGGGAUCGCAAGACCUUGCGCUUUUAGAGCGGCCGAUGCCUGAUUAGCUUGUUGGUAAGGUAAAAGCUUACCAAGGCUUCGAUCAGUAGCUGGUCUGAGAGGACGGCCAGCCACAUUGGGACUGAGACACGGCCCAGACUCCUACGGGAGGCAGCAGUGGGGAAUUUUGGACAAUGGGGGCAACCUUGAUCCAGCCAUGCCGCGUGAGUGAAGAAGGCCUUCGGGUUGCAAAGCUCUUUCAGCCGGAACGAAACGGUUACGGUUAAUACCCGUGACUAAUGACGGUACCGGAAGAAGAAGCACCGGCUAACUACGUGCCAGCAGCCGCGGUAAUAAGGGCGA
RNAcentral lists this ribosomal RNA (528 nucleotides) under uncultured Nitrosospira sp. Its description in RNAcentral is "bacterial SSU rRNA". It matches the Rfam family "Bacterial small subunit ribosomal RNA", at positions 9 to 537 of the family's 1533-position model. Lineage: Bacteria; Pseudomonadati; Pseudomonadota; Betaproteobacteria; Nitrosomonadales; Nitrosomonadaceae. The record is from RNAcentral.